AUGCGAAAGCAGUUGAAAACAAAUCGAAAGAAUUUGGAAACAGAUUCGAGUAAGUUUGGAAGUUCGUAAAGAACAUGGCCUCGUCGAACGG
RNAcentral lists this unclassified non-coding RNA (91 nucleotides) under Lachancea kluyveri. RNAcentral's name for it is "partial 35S ribosomal cistron external transcribed spacer". Lineage: Eukaryota; Fungi; Ascomycota; Saccharomycetes; Saccharomycetales; Saccharomycetaceae. The record is from RNAcentral.